GCAUAUCAAUAAGCGGAGGAAAAGAAACCAACAGGGAUUGCCUCAGUAACGGCGAGUGAAGCGGCAACAGCUCAAAUUUGAAAUCUGGCCUCUUUGGGGUCCGAGUUGUAAUUUGUAGAGGAUGUUUCGGGUACCGCCUCGGUCUAAAUUUCUUGGAACAGAAUGUCAAAGAGGGUGAGAAUCCCGUCUUGGACCGGCGGUAGGGCCCAUGUGAAACUCCUUCGACGAGUCGAGUUGUUUGGGAAUGCAGCUCAAAAUGGGUGGUAAAUUUCAUCUAAAGCUAAAUAUUGGCCAGAGACCGAUAGCGCACAAGUAGAGUGAUCGAAAGAUGAAAAGCACUUUGAAAAGAGAGUUAAACAGUAUGUGAAAUUGUUGAAAGGGAAGCGCUUGCAACCAGACUUGAGCGCGGCGGUUCCCCCUUCCUUUUGGUUGGGUUACUCCGCCGUGUCCAGGCCAACAUCGGUUCUGGGGGUCGGUUAAAGGCUCGAGGAAUGUAUCUACUCCUUCGGGGGUAGACUUAUAGCCUCGGGUGUCAUGCGACCUCCCGGGACCGAGGAACGCGCUUCGGCUCGGAUGUUGGCGUAAUGGUUGUCAGCGACCCGUCUUGAAACACGGACCAAGGAGUCUAACAUCUAUGCGAGUGUUUGGGUGUCAAACCCGGAACGCGGAAUGAAAGUGAACGGAGGUAGGAAGCCGCAAGGCUGCACUAUCGACCGAUCCUGAUGUCUUCGGAUGGAUUUGAGUAAGAGCAUAGCUGUUGGGACCCGAAAGAUGGUGAACUAUGCCUGAAUAGGGUGAAGCCAGAGGAAACUCUGGUGGAGGCUCGCAGCGGUUCUGACGUGCAAAUCGAUCGUCAAAUUUGGGUAUAGGGGCGAAAGACUAAUCGAACCAUCUGGUAGCUGGUUCCUGCCGA
Molecule: ribosomal RNA, 913 nt
Filed under: Exophiala spinifera
Lineage: Eukaryota; Fungi; Ascomycota; Eurotiomycetes; Chaetothyriales; Herpotrichiellaceae
Description: LSU rRNA
Rfam family: Eukaryotic large subunit ribosomal RNA
Source: RNAcentral